AGAGGAGUCUACUGAACAGCUAAUCUCUACAUUGCUACUGAGAGGAGCAAUGAGUUCAUGUUCCCUUUUGCCCAAUGACUGUCUGAAAAGAUGCUGCAGAGAUGGCUAAAGAAGAACAGACAAACAAGGAAAUCAAAACAAAAGAGUCAGAGGAAUGAAGGGCGAAAAUGUUGAAGAAUACAAAUAUUGUGUUUGUCAGGACUUUGGGGACAGUUUCAUAAAUGUAUUUCUUGCCAUCGUUGCAUAUUUUACUUGGACAUCCUGUCACUUCCUCUGUCCCCUCUAUAACAGAAAUAUUUGUUAGGAAGGUUAAAGUCACUAAAAAAGUUGUUUAUGUGGCAUGUUUCUUAGCAAGAGGUCUUCUAUUCCUCUGAAAAAUGUUAAAUUACAGAGGUCAACUAAGCCUAUAGAAGGAUUAAGCAGGCUCAGGUUAGAAGGCGCCAAAUAUACUUAAAAUUUUUUUAGAUAGAAAAUCUCUGGAGGAAAGAUGUAUCUCAGAGAUUAACCCUUAUGUAUAUGCUAAAAGUUUUU
Molecule: long non-coding RNA, 531 nt
Filed under: Pan troglodytes (chimpanzee)
Lineage: Eukaryota; Metazoa; Chordata; Mammalia; Primates; Hominidae
Description: long non-coding RNA NONPTRT000386
Source: RNAcentral